RNAcentral lists this ribosomal RNA (253 nucleotides) under uncultured bacterium. Its description in RNAcentral is "partial 16S ribosomal RNA". It matches the Rfam family "Bacterial small subunit ribosomal RNA", at positions 524 to 776 of the family's 1533-position model. The record is from RNAcentral.
UACGUAGGGUGCGAGCGUUAAUCGGAAUUACUGGGCGUAAAGCGUGCGCAGGCGGUUUUGCAAGCCGGUUGUGAAAUCCCCGGGCUCAACCUGGGAAUGGCAUUUGGGACUGCAAGGCUCGAGUGCGGCAGAGGAGACUGGAAUUCCUGGUGUAGCAGUGAAAUGCGUAGAUAUCAGGAGGAAUACCGAUGGCGAAGGCAGGUCUCUGGGCUGACACUGACGCUCAUGCACGAAAGCGUGGGGAGCAAACAGG